RNAcentral lists this long non-coding RNA (254 nucleotides) under Physcomitrium patens. Its description in RNAcentral is "long non-coding RNA (PPAT_LNC001960)". Lineage: Eukaryota; Viridiplantae; Streptophyta; Bryopsida; Funariales; Funariaceae. The record is from RNAcentral.
UUCGUAUCAUGCAUUGGAAAUUGGAAAAAGAUCUAAGUUACAAACUGGUUUUGCAGCAUUUUAAGACAUUUGUGUAUGGGUUCUGAGUUCCCAACCUACCGCCCUCCAAACUGCCCGCCCCCUGGUUCCCCUACGUUCCCACCCUCCGUUCCCAGAAUCUGAGCGGCAGCUGUGAUCCGACGGCCCACGAUGGUGGAGCCAUUCGAUUGAAUAAGGUGGUUUCUGCGACACGAUUCUACGAGGCUUACCCUCAC